Molecule: ribosomal RNA, 485 nt
Filed under: Enterococcus hirae
Lineage: Bacteria; Bacillati; Bacillota; Bacilli; Lactobacillales; Enterococcaceae
Description: bacterial SSU rRNA
Rfam family: Bacterial small subunit ribosomal RNA
Source: RNAcentral
UGCAAGUCGAACGCUUCUUUUUCCACCGGAGCUUGCUCCACCGGAAAAAGAGGAGUGGCGAACGGGUGAGUAACACGUGGGUAACCUGCCCAUCAGAAGGGGAUAACACUUGGAAACAGGUGCUAAUACCGUAUAACAAUCGAAACCGCAUGGUUUUGAUUUGAAAGGCGCUUUCGGGUGUCGCUGAUGGAUGGACCCGCGGUGCAUUAGCUAGUUGGUGAGGUAACGGCUCACCAAGGCGACGAUGCAUAGCCGACCUGAGAGGGUGAUCGGCCACAUUGGGACUGAGACACGGCCCAAACUCCUACGGGAGGCAGCAGUAGGGAAUCUUCGGCAAUGGACGAAAGUCUGACCGAGCAACGCCGCGUGAGUGAAGAAGGUUUUCGGAUCGUAAAACUCUGUUGUUAGAGAAGAACAAGGAUGAGAGUAACUGUUCAUCCCUUGACGGUAUCUAACCAGAAAGCCACGGCUAACUACGUGCCAGC